Small nuclear RNA from Oryzias melastigma (Indian medaka), 171 nucleotides. Its record names the gene U1. It matches the Rfam family "U1 spliceosomal RNA". Rfam says of the family: U1 is a small nuclear RNA (snRNA) component of the spliceosome (involved in pre-mRNA splicing). The record is from Ensembl. NCBI's taxonomy places the organism in Eukaryota, Metazoa, Chordata, Actinopteri, Beloniformes, Adrianichthyidae.
AAACCUGCUAGGGUAGAACAAUGGGUGACAACAGGUUUAAGCAGGUGGUUUUACCCUGGUUGAGGCUCGCUCAUUGCACUCUGACCGUCCUGACCCUGUGAAUUGUGGGAGAUGUGGGAAUCUUAACUGCAUAACUUGUGGUAAUGGAGAUUGUGUUCGCACUCAUCUGUU